GCCUUAUAGCCAACAAGUCGGUUGUAUUAUUAGCCUUGCUCUUAAAUGGAAUCGAUAUGUUCAGCUGUAGAGUGC
Molecule: unclassified non-coding RNA, 75 nt
Filed under: Oryza sativa (Asian cultivated rice)
Lineage: Eukaryota; Viridiplantae; Streptophyta; Magnoliopsida; Poales; Poaceae
Description: partial microRNA MIR491a precursor
Source: RNAcentral